This is an RNA transcript of Thamnophis elegans (Western terrestrial garter snake), 3159 nucleotides long. It is a transcript of the gene named threonylcarbamoyladenosine tRNA methylthiotransferase-like, with no coding region annotated. The record is from RefSeq and is a predicted model, not a curated record. NCBI's taxonomy places the organism in Eukaryota, Metazoa, Chordata, Lepidosauria, Squamata, Natricidae. The transcript has 16 exons.
CUUCCCGUGACGCGUGAAAGGGCGUGGCCACAUCAUGGCGCAGUGCAUGUGCGGCUGCUCGGAGCGGAGCUAGGGACCUUCCAGGAAAAAAUGCUGAAAGAUCCCAAUACCCACCAAUAUUAAGAUAAAAUGAUUGCUGCUGGUGACCUUUGCCUUGAAGACAUUGAAGAUAUUGUGUCGGCAGAAGAUCCAAAGCCCUUUGAUCGUCAGUUCAGUAGAAAAAACAUUAUUCCUAAAGUGCGAAAACGCCAGUCACAAAAGAACGUGGAAGUGGAUGAUCCUCCCCCUAGAGAUAGUGUGAUUCCCGGUAUACAGAAAAUUUGGAUACGUACAUGGGGAUGUUCCCAUAAUAGUUCAGAUGGCGAAUACAUGGCUGGACAGCUAGCCGCUUAUGGAUACGGUAUAACAGAAAAUGCAGCAGAAGCCGACCUUUGGCUAUUGAACAGCUGUACAGUAAAAAGCCCUGCUGAAGACCACUUUCGGAACUCAAUUAAGAAAGCACAAGAAGGAAAAAAGAAAGUUGUCCUAGCUGGAUGUGUUCCACAAGCCCAGCCCCGACAAGACUAUCUGCAAGGCCUGAGCAUUAUUGGGGUUCAACAGAUAGAUCGUGUAGUGGAAGUUGUUGAGGAAACUAUUAAGGGUCAUUCUGUGAGAUUGCUAGGACAGAAAAAGGAUAAUGGGAAACGGCUGGGGGGAGCGCGACUGGAUUUGCCAAAGAUUAGAAAGAACCCCCUGAUAGAAAUCAUUUCCAUCAAUACAGGGUGUCUGAAUGCAUGUACUUAUUGCAAAACUAAGCAUGCCCGAGGGGAAUUAGCAAGUUAUUCUAUUGAAGAACUGGUAAACAGAGGCAAACAAUCCUUUGAAGAAGGAGUAUGCGAGAUAUGGCUGACCAGCGAAGAUACCGGGGCUUAUGGCAGAGACAUUGGCACAGACCUCCCGACUCUCUUGUGGAAGCUAGUGGAAGUGAUCCCUGAGGGAGCAAUGCUAAGGCUUGGCAUGACCAACCCGCCGUAUAUUUUAGAGCAUCUGGAGGAAAUGGCAAAAAUUCUCAACCACCCGAGAGUCUACUCUUUUCUACAUGUACCAGUUCAAUCCGCUUCUGAUAGCGUAUUGAUGGACAUGAAGAGAGAAUAUUGUGUAGCUGAUUUCAAACGUGUGGUGGAUUUUCUUAAAACUAGAGUACCUGGAAUAACAAUUGCUACAGACAUCAUUUGUGGGUUUCCAGGGGAAACUGAUGAAGAUUUUCAAGAAACCAUGAAACUUGUUGAAGAAUACAGGUUUCCAAGUCUUUUUAUUAACCAGUUUUAUCCACGCCCUGGGACUCCAGCUGCAAAAAUGCCUCAGGUUCCAGCUCAAAUAAAGAAACAAAGAACAAAAGAACUGUCCAAACUAUUUCAUUCAUACAAUCCAUAUGAUCACAAGCUUACCGUCAAGAAACUAAACAGACCAUUCAUGAUGAAGUUUUGGAAACAACUGAAAAGGAUUCUAAUUUCCUGGCAAAAGGAUAGUUGCAUACUGGACAGAAUCACUAGAUGGGUCAAUUUCAACAUGUUAUAGUUACGGAAAGUAUAAAAUUUCAUGCUCUGGAAUAGUGAAGCAAUUGAGCCAAACAUGCUGAAUCUAUUUAAACAGAACCUGCAAAACUCAGGAAAGGAGGACUAUAUAUAUAUAUAUUUUUAAAGCAUUACUUCACAAAAAUUUCAAAAUAUUGAUUCACCUUCCCUCCAUGGAGAAUGCAGAAUAUAUUAUACAGUUUAGUUUCCUAUUAACGUUAUAAUAGUGAUCAUUGUUCUGUACUAUAUCUCUUUAUAAUAUUUUAUGCUUUAUCAAAAAUGGCAAUGUGAAUUGUUUCCUGGGCAUAUUUUGUACAUUGAUAUUUAGUAUGUUGUAUAUUUUAUCACAUAAUAACAUUUCAAUAUCUUAUGCACAUCAUCUUCUGAAAGUUUCCCUCCAGUUAUCUAUUGCUUGAGAAAUGCAAAUUCAAUAUAUAGGUUGGGAGUUGAAUUCAUGAUAUUUUCAUCAAGCUUAUCUCCCCACAAGUGCUGGGCUACACAUCUGUUAUACAUGCCAUUAUUUUUUUCAAGCUUUCAUUUCCUGAUGUGGACUCUGGAAGAAUUUGAUAAAUUGUUUAUAAUGGUUAGGAACUGAAUAUGAUUUUUUUUCUGAUUUUUCAUGAAACUGGCUUGGCUUAUUCUAGAACUUGAUUCAUUCUAAAAUUCUAGUAUCAACUAUCUGUUCUAUUCACAACUCAACUAUCUGUGCUGUUCACCAUAUCAUUAUGUCCUUCAGCCUAGGCAUCCAUCUUCUAGUCCACCACUUUUCUACAAGUAGGAGUCACAAGUUCUCCAUUGUCCUGCCCCAGUUCACCUCUAUUUAACAAUCAUAUUAGCUUUCUUUCCAGUCAAAGCUUCAAGAUUUCUUGGAGGGCUUCCUUUAUGUUCAGUUGAAUCAAUGACUACAUAGACUGAAAGAAUAUGCAUCAGAGGUUUUAUUAAUUGUGUAAUUCACCUAUAAGUGAAUCCAUGUGCCAGAAAUAAUAUUCAAUUGCAGAGAAGAAUACUCAGACAAUUAAGAACUUGACUAAAUUUGUUAAUUAAGGAAAAGUAGGGUUGCUUUGAUUUUCUUUUCGGUUAAUGAAUUUCUUACAAAGUAGGAUUUCUCUAGCACACUAAAUGUUCACGAAACAUGGUGUCCAAUCAGAUGCCUUACCUUUUCUUUAAAAGGGGGCUAAUAUCUAUUUGAAACAGUGCAGUAUCACAAAUAAUUUAACCGAAAAUCUAAAUAACAGGCCACCGUAAAGGUUCAGUGCUAUCAGUUUACAUAGAAGACCAGGAAUUGAUAUGUUUUAGUUUGUUCUAGACAAAAAGAAGUGUCAUUGGAGAAGACCUUGAUGCAUGAAAAAAUCGAACACAAUCAAAAUAGUGGUUGACAGAAGACAAGGAUGGGAAAUUAGAGGCGCCACAUUCUGACUUGGCAUUGAAGUACCUAUAGGGUUGCCUCCUCCAACCAGUAUUGGCGCACCCACGGCAAAAAAAAACUCCUGAUGAUAAUCCCGUAUUAGUGAAGUGAGAUGAGAUUGGGGAGAGACAGAAAGUGCUUGUUACAGAAGAAUCCUUUGAUUCCAAAUUUUAUGUUGCUCAUAAUAAAUUCUACGAACAG